UUGGAGGGCAAGUCUGGUGCCAGCAGCCGCGGUAAUUCCAGCUCCAAUAGCGUAUAUUAAAGUUGUUGCAGUUAAAAAGCUCGUAGUUGAAUUUCGGGGUUAGUAGGUUGGUCAUGCCUCUGGUAUGUACUGGUCUCACUGAUUCCUCCUUCCUGAUGAGCCGUAAUGCCAUUAAUUUGGUGUUGCGGGGAAUUUGGACUGUUACUUUGAAAAAAUUAGAGUGGUUAAAGCAAGCUAACGCUUGAAUACGUUAGCAUGGAACAAUGAAAUAGGACGUUCGAUCCUAUUUUGUUGGUUUCUAGGAUUGACGUAAUGAUUAAUAGGGAUAGUUGGGGGCAUUAGUAUUCAAUUGUCAGAGGUGAAAUUCUUGGAUUUAUUGAAGACUAACUACUGCGAAAGCAUUUGCCAAGGAUGUUUUCAUUAAUCAAGAACGAAAGUUAGGGGAUCGAAGACGAUCAGAUACCGUCGUAGUCUUAACCAUAAACUAUGCCGACUAGGGAUCGGAUGAUGUUAAUUUUUUAAUGACUCAUUCGGCGCCUUACGGGAAACCAAAGUGUUUGGGUUC
This 565-nucleotide ribosomal RNA is filed under the name uncultured Glomeromycotina. RNAcentral's name for it is "SSU rRNA". It matches the Rfam family "Eukaryotic small subunit ribosomal RNA", at positions 548 to 1114 of the family's 1831-position model. Lineage: Eukaryota; Fungi; Glomeromycota. The record is from RNAcentral.